Molecule: non-coding RNA, 25 nt
Filed under: Rattus norvegicus (Norway rat)
Lineage: Eukaryota; Metazoa; Chordata; Mammalia; Rodentia; Muridae
Source: RNAcentral
UGUAGGUGUUAAGCUAUGGCUUCAC